CCAAAAACGGUCUAAUCCUCUAAAGGCAUUUGCUCAUGUGCUACCUUUGUGCAUUGUAUGUCAUCAUGGAAUUUAGUGAUUUUUCCAGUUGCGCGAAUUUAUAAUCUAAGAAAUUAGGAAUAUGUUACCAAUAAUAUUAACGACUAAUAAAGUGCCAGCAGUCGCGGUCAUACUUUCGUUAAAAAUAAACUAAAUUAGGACAUGUGUAAGUAAUGGUGAACCUGUGGUAAAAUACGGUCAUAUUCACUUUAAUACUUUAAUUGUGGCAAAAACUGGUAACAAACAGGGAUUAGAUACCCCUUUAUGCAGUAAGUAAAUCACGUCCUGGGCAUUACAAUUAACAGAUUGAAACCCAAUGAACAUGGCGGUAGCUUAAAUAUUUAGGGGAACUUACUAAGUAAAUGAUAACCAUCAAGAAUAUGUACGUUAAAUCACAUUUUACAUACCGUCGUCGUCAGAUCUUCUUCGAUAGAAUGUCAAUAUAUCUUACAAAUAAAAAGACAGAUCAAGGUGUAGACUAUUAUAACGUUUCAGCGAGUUACAAUAUUUUCUUUUUUCGUAAACUAGUUAUAUAAUUAGCUAUAGGCGGACUUAAAAGUAAUAUUUAUAGGGGAUACAAUAUGAAUUAUCUUGACCU
This 637-nucleotide ribosomal RNA is filed under the name Helix schlaeflii. RNAcentral's name for it is "partial 12S ribosomal RNA". Lineage: Eukaryota; Metazoa; Mollusca; Gastropoda; Stylommatophora; Helicidae. The record is from RNAcentral.